This is a long non-coding RNA of Sceloporus undulatus (fence lizard), 3722 nucleotides long. RefSeq lists it as uncharacterized. The transcript is spliced from 3 exons. The record is from RefSeq and is a predicted model, not a curated record. NCBI's taxonomy places the organism in Eukaryota, Metazoa, Chordata, Lepidosauria, Squamata, Phrynosomatidae.
GGAGGGGGGUCGCCUCGGCUGCUGUUCCCUCUCUCCUCCUUCUCUUCCGCCGCCAAUCUCUCCCUUUCUCUGGGGCGGGGCAGGGAGGAGGCCCCGUUUAGGCUUAGGCCUUGCUGCUGCUGCUCCGGAGGCUGCGUAAGCGCCGCUCUCGCUCCCCUCUCGGAACAAAAUGCCGACCGGAAGUGCAGCCGGAGGAAGGACUCCCUCCACCGGCCACAAGGCACAAGCACAGCCGCCCUGCUCCUGGCUGGGAUGGAGGGCUCCGGGCUCCCUCUCUGGGUUGGUUGGAGGGGGGAGGUUGCUCUCCUUCACUCCGGAGAGGAGCUUGCAAAAGGGCAAACGAAGGGGUCCUCCUGGAGAAGCCCAAGGCUAGAAGGGAAGGGGACUCAACGCCCUGCUUGCCUCCUGCCUGCCUCCUUCUCCCCAUCGGAGUGUAUGGAGGUGAGAGCCGAGAGGAGUGGAGGAAGAGGAUAGAGGUGGGAAAGACAUUCACUGGAGAUGGGGAGAGGAUGCCGCGGAUGGGCAAAAGGACAAACAAAUGGAGCGGCCCCAAAUCUUAGAAGACAAGGUGACUAAACUCCCUGCUUGCCUCCCUGCCUUCUUUUUGCCUCCUUCUCCCCAUCGCUCUGUUUGGAGCUGAGAAGAGUGGAGGAAGAUGACUAAACUGCCUUCUGCCUUCUUUUUGCCUCCUUCCGUCCAUCGCUGUGUAUGGAGGCGAGAGCUGGGAAGGGGGAAGGAAGAUAUAGGUAAGGAUUACAUUCAUUUGCGAUGGGGAGAGGAUGGGCAAAAGAACAAACAAAUGCGUCUUCCCUGAGCCACCUAAAAGCCUGGAAGACAAGGUGACUAAAUUCCCUACUUGCAUCCCUGCCUGCCUUCUUAUUGCCUCCUUCCCAUUGCUCUGUAUGGAUAUGAGAGCUGAGAAGCGUGAAGGAAGAGGAUAUAUGGGUCCUGGAAGCAACCCAAGCCUAGAAGACAAGGGGACUAUCUGCCUCCCUGCCUUCUUUUUGUCUCCUUCUCCCCAUCCCUCUCUACGGAGGUGAGAGUUGAGAAGAGUAAAGGAAGAGGAUAGGUAGAAAAUAUACCCAUUUGAGGAUGCCGUGGACAGCCAGGAAGGCAAACAAAUGGGUCCUGGAGCAGACCAAGACUGAAAGCCAAGAUGAUUAAACAUUCUGCCUCCAUCCCUUCUUUUUGCUUCCUUCUCUCCAUCACUAUGUAUAGAAGUGAGAGCUGAAAACUGAAGAAAGGGGAUAAGAAGAAAAUUUGUUUCAGAUAGAGGAGAGUUCUGAGGAUAUACUGUGGACGGCCUAGAAGACAAACAAAUAGGUCCCAGAGCAACCCAAGCCUGGAAGCCAAGAUGACUGAACUGCUUGCAUCCCUCCCUUCUUUUUACCUCCCUUCUCUCCAUCACUAUGUACAGAUGUGUGACCCAUGCUGGAGAAGAGUGCUGAGGAUGGGUCCUGGAACAAACCGAGCCUAAACUCCCCCUGUAAGCCAAGAUGACCAAACUGAGGUUGUGGUGCUUUAGACACACUAUGAAAAAGAAAGACUCAUUGGAAAAGGCAAUGAUGCUGGGGAAGAUGGAGGGUAGAAGAAGGGGGGCAAGACAGCACACCAGAUGGAUGGACUCUAUUAAGGAGGCAAUGGGCAUGAAUCUACAAGGCUUAAGCAGAGAGGGUGAGAACAGGGUGUCUUGGAGGUGUCUAAUCCACAGGGUCAUUGUGAGUCAGGAUCGACUGGAAGCAGGGUGGCCAGGCAUCCUCCUUUUCCAGGAGACAUCCUACAUUUUGGCCUUCUCUCUGGGGAGAAUUCCAAAAGGUCCUCCAUUUUGACCAUGACUAAGAAGCAUUCAUUUCCAAUUAUUUGAGUGUUUUGGGCUUUUAUUUUGCAGGGUCCAACAUUUUUCUUGUAUGAACUACAUUUGGCAGCGCCUUGUCCUCCUUUGUGGUGAGGACAUCUUGUCACCCUGACUCAAAGGCAGUUCACAACAACAACUGCCUAGAAAGCCAAGCUUGGAAAGGUGCUGGAGUGGGGUGUUCUCAGCUUCCUUGUGGGAGCUACAAGUGGGUGGUCCGUUUUGUGUGUUUCUUGUUUCAUCUUUUUUUCUUCUUCUUCUUUGUCCCCCCCCCCUCGCGCGCUCUCUGUUGUGUACAGGAGAAGCUGGGGUUUGCAGAAACAGCCUGUGAGGGUGAAGCAUGCCUUCCAAUUGUCAAAAUGAAGACCAGGAGCCAAAUGAUUCUGUUAAAAAUUGUGUUGUUUCUUCUUUAAAAGAAUAUUUUUAAAUAUUAUUGUCAAUGCCACAUCAGAAAAUUGCAGAUAGAGGGGAAAAAACUUCCAAGGAAAGGAGUAAGAAUAUUAUUUAGAAAAAAUAUGUGUCUCGUUCUUUCAUUUUCAGAAGGACCAUUGAAUAACUGUGUCUUCUUGCACCUGUUUGUUUUUAAUUAUUAAAUACCUCUUUUGUUUUAUGCCUGUUUUUAUAAGAUGAUGUCCUAAUCAGGAUACUGUAGGAUUUAAAAACCCCUGUUUGAUGAAAAAGUUCACUACUCCCCAGAUGGGUAUAUGUCCCCCUUCCCCCAAAAAGAUGUUUUGUAAGGUAAUAUGAAAGAGGGGAAUCCAUGAUGUGAUGCGAAGAUUUCUUUACUAGAAAACUGAUAUGGUUGUUGACAGAUUUUCUGCAGAUAGCCCAAUUAUGGGUAGAGUUCCAGUCUUCUGGAGAAAAGGACAAUGAUUACUUUGAAAGCUCAUCCAUUUUUUCCUUCUGGUAAAUUGUGCACAAUAGCACAGAACAGAAAGUUGUAAUUCAGUCAGUUCUUCAUAAAGAUUAGAGCUCAUCCAUGGGCCAACUGCUUAGUAAGAACUGCAAGCCAGAAGUUGGGCACUAUGGCUUUGAACUGAAAAAGCCCAUCCACACAGAUUAUUCUGUGCAAAUUAGCCAUGUACAGGUAAGAAGGGUUUAUUUUGUUAUGUGCCAUCAGGUGCAAUUGGAGUUAUAACAAUCCUAUGAAUAAGAGACCUCCCAGAGAUCUAGCUGGUAGUAUUCUUACUCAGGUCUUUUAAGCUCAGGACCCUGGUUUCCUGCAUACUGUAGAUGACGCAUAAUAUAAAUGUAUAAUUUGUUUUUUAUUUAAUAUAUAAUACAUAUGCAUAAUACUUUAUAUGGAUAUUAUUUUAAUUAGACUACUAGCAAAAUUCUGUGCUCUGGGUUUUUGGAUACAUAGAAGCAUAGAUAUACGGUAGUUACUUUAUAGUUUACAUGUACAUUAGAUGUACAUUAGAUUGAGGAAUCCAGUUCAUUUAGAGGCAGUUGUGACAAAAUGUGUAAUCCAUAGAUGAUUAUCUGAGAAUAAGUCCCACUGGACACAGUAAAAUUUGUUUUGAUAGGUAGGAUUGGGCAGAACAUACCAAAGUGAUAAGAACUUAGUUGUAAAUAAAUUGUUGGGCUGAAAUCAAAAUCUUUUGGUUGCUUUCCCACUACUAAUAGUGGGAUGAUGUAUAAAUAAACAUGCAGGCUAGUCUAAUUUUUUAAAAAUGUGUUAUUUUUCAGGUGUUACUGCAGCCCACUGGUCUUGGUGUCAUAAAAUGUUUCACUAUAAAUGUUUAAAAAUUAUGGUAUGGUGAAAAAAAUGUAUUGGAAAAUCCUUGUGACAUAUAAAAUUGUUAUGGUCCAAAUUCUAUAUGUAGUAUGGCCUGAAAAAAAGUCGAGCUAAUAAAACUAUAAUUACUGA